GCCACACUGGGACUGAGACACGGCCCAGACUCCUACGGGAGGCAGCAGUAGGGAAUCUUCCGCAAUGGGCGAAAGCCUGACGGAGCAACGCCGCGUGAGUGAUGAAGGUUUUCGGAUCGUAAAGCUCUGUUGCCAGGGAAGAACGACCGUUAGAGUAACUGCUAACGGAGUGACGGUACCUGAGAAGAAAGCCCCGGCUAACUACGUGCCAGCAGCCGCGGUAAUACGUAGGGGGCAAGCGUUGUCCGGAAUUAUUGGGCGUAAAGCGCGCGCAGGCGGU
RNAcentral lists this ribosomal RNA (280 nucleotides) under Acinetobacter baumannii. RNAcentral's name for it is "partial 16S ribosomal RNA". It matches the Rfam family "Bacterial small subunit ribosomal RNA", at positions 307 to 579 of the family's 1533-position model. Lineage: Bacteria; Pseudomonadati; Pseudomonadota; Gammaproteobacteria; Moraxellales; Moraxellaceae. The record is from RNAcentral.